Molecule: long non-coding RNA, 267 nt
Filed under: Elaeis guineensis (African oil palm)
Lineage: Eukaryota; Viridiplantae; Streptophyta; Magnoliopsida; Arecales; Arecaceae
Description: long non-coding RNA (EGUI_LNC014720)
Source: RNAcentral
CUGCCACCUAUUUCUCUAGAAACUGUCAAAGUUGAGCUGCUGCCGUCUGAGCUCGAAGCUGGGUUCUUCCUCCUGAGAAUCUCAUUCUGAAGAAUUACUAUUAUGAUCUCGUCUAUCUUGAUGGUGCUCUUUCCCACUAGAAGAGUAAUUACCAAAGACUUAUAUGAAGAGGAAAGCAAUGCUAGCAAGACCAAUGCCCUAGUCUUCUUCUCAACUUUCUCGUCAAUGCUGAAAAGAUUGGUGAGGAUAUUUUGGAGGUGGCUUAGA